Molecule: unclassified non-coding RNA, 333 nt
Filed under: soil metagenome
Description: partial contains 5.8S ribosomal RNA, internal transcribed spacer 2, and large subunit ribosomal RNA
Rfam family: 5.8S ribosomal RNA (bases 1-120)
Source: RNAcentral
GAUGAAGAACGUAGCGAAAUGCGAUACGUAAUGUGAAUUGCAGAAUUCAGUGAAUCAUCGAAUCUUUGAACGCACAUUGCGCCUGCCAGCACUCUGGCAGGCAUGCCUGUUCGAGCGUCAUUUCAACCAUCAAGCCCUAAGCUUGCGUUGGAGCCCUGCGGCUGCCGCAGGCCCCUAAAAGCAGUGGCGGGCUCGCUAUCACACCGAGUGCAGUAGAUUACUCUUCGCUCAGGGCGUGUGGCGGGUUCCAGCCGUGAAACCCCUACUUCUCAAGGUUGACCUCGGAUCAGGUAGGAAUACCCGCUGAACUUAAGCAUAUCAAUAAGCGGAGGA